AUCAGGUGGCUAACAACUGACUUGGCCAGGUGCCUUGACAUAUGGGGUUGUUGUAUUUCUGUUCCUGGAAUCACUAAGCAAUGUUGUGCAAAUCACAGGGAAGCCAGUAAUAAAAUGUUGCCUUUGCACACAUGGAAGCUUGUGCACAUAUCCAUACUUCCCCUAGCCUGGCCAUGGUGUCCGAAGGCAUGUUCCACUGCCAGCCAGCCUCUGAAGUCCCCCAAUUCUAGGCUAAAGAUGUGCUCAGGGGGGACAUUGUGCUUCACCACAGCACAUCUCUGAGCCCUCAGCUAGGUGUUUAAUUAGAAGCGAGGAUGGAGCUCUUCACUCCACAGGGCUAGAGAUCUGGACCAGAAGCCACAAGGAGCCAGCAAGGAUUUUUUUUUUCCAUUUCAGAUGCAGCAGUGUGGAAUUCUCUCUGGAGGUCAUUUGUUUACUUCACAGUCUACAAGGUGAGAGUUGGAACUGGGUCUGUGUCCCCGUUACUGCAGCCCCAGAUCCUAGAAGAGUGCGUGGUGUCGGAGGCGUUCAGCAAAUGCUUGAUGACUCAAUGGAUAAGCAUGAGGAUGGAACAAGA
This 577-nucleotide long non-coding RNA is filed under the name Mus pahari (shrew mouse). RNAcentral describes it as "RIKEN cDNA 4930527B05 gene (MGP_PahariEiJ_G0002582.1)". The record is from RNAcentral. Lineage: Eukaryota; Metazoa; Chordata; Mammalia; Rodentia; Muridae.